This 253-nucleotide ribosomal RNA is filed under the name uncultured bacterium. RNAcentral describes it as "partial 16S ribosomal RNA". It matches the Rfam family "Bacterial small subunit ribosomal RNA", at positions 524 to 776 of the family's 1533-position model. The record is from RNAcentral.
UACAGAGGGUGCAAGCGUUAAUCGGAAUUACUGGGCGUAAAGCGCACGCAGGCGGUUGGUUAAGUCAGAUGUGAAAGCCCCGGGCUCAACCUGGGAAUUGCAUUUGAAACUGGCCAACUAGAGUACGUGAGAUGGGGGUAGAAUUCCAAGUGUAGCGGUGAAAUGCGUAGAGAUUUGGAGGAAUACCAGUGGCGAAGGCGGCCCCCUGGCACGAUACUGACGCUCAGGUGCGAAAGCGUGGGGAGCAAACAGG